Molecule: ribosomal RNA, 497 nt
Filed under: uncultured bacterium
Lineage: Bacteria
Description: partial 16S ribosomal RNA
Rfam family: Bacterial small subunit ribosomal RNA
Source: RNAcentral
GAUGAACGCUGGCGGCGUGCCUAAUACAUGCAAGUCGAGCGAACAGACGGGGAGCUUGCUCCUCUGACGUUAGCGGCGGACGGGUGAGUAACACGUGGAUAACCUACCUAUAAGACUGGGAUAACUUCGGGAAACCGGAGCUAAUACCGGAUAAUAUAUUGAACCGCAUGGUUCAAUAGUGAAAGACGGUUUUGCUGUCACUUAUAGAUGGAUCCGCGCCGCAUUAGCUAGUUGGUAAGGUAACGGCUUACCAAGGCAACGAUGCGUAGCCGACCUGAGAGGGUGAUCGGCCACACUGGAACUGAGACGCGGUCCAGACUCCUACGGGAGGCAGCAGUAGGGAAUCUUCCGCAAUGGGCGAAAGCCUGACGGAGCAACGCCGCGUGAGUGAUGAAGGUCUUCGGAUCGUAAAACUCUGUUAUUAGGGAAGAACAAAUGUGUAAGUAACUAUGCACGUCUUGACGGUACCUAAUCAGAAAGCCACGGCUAACUACGUG